RNAcentral lists this ribosomal RNA (497 nucleotides) under uncultured bacterium. Its description in RNAcentral is "partial 16S ribosomal RNA". It matches the Rfam family "Bacterial small subunit ribosomal RNA", at positions 28 to 507 of the family's 1533-position model. The record is from RNAcentral.
GAUGAACGCUGGCGGCGUGCCUAAUACAUGCAAGUCGAGCGAACAGAUAAGGAGCUUGCUCCUUUGACGUUAGCGGCGGACGGGUGAGUAACACGUGGGUAACCUACCUAUAAGACUGGGAUAACUUCGGGAAACCGGAGCUAAUACCGGAUAACAUUUGGAACCGCAUGGUUCUAAAGUGAAAGAUGGUUUUGCUAUCACUUAUAGAUGGACCCGCGCCGUAUUAGCUAGUUGGUAGGGUAACGGCUUACCAAGGCGACGAUACGUAGCCGACCUGAGAGGGUGAUCGGCCACACUGGAACUGAGACACGGUCCAGACUCCUACGGGAGGCAGCAGUAGGGAAUCUUCCGCAAUGGGCGAAAGCCUGACGGAGCAACGCCGCGUGAGUGAUGAAGGGUUUCGGCUCGUAAAACUCUGUUAUUAGGGAAGAACAAACGUGUAAGUAACUGUGCACGUCUUGACGGUACCUAAUCAGAAAGCCACGGCUAACUACGUG